This 684-nucleotide long non-coding RNA is filed under the name Sinocyclocheilus anshuiensis. RNAcentral describes it as "lncRNA (ENSSANG00000001584.1)". The record is from RNAcentral. Lineage: Eukaryota; Metazoa; Chordata; Actinopteri; Cypriniformes; Cyprinidae.
AAGAGACAUCCCAGAGGAGCCCAAGAGGUCCUGUGUUCAACUUAGUAGAUACGACCCUCUCUUACACUUCUCUCUUUCUGAAAUGGGAAACUGAGAAGUGGGAUGAUCAGGGUAACCAGAUUGUCAAGGUGACAAAAGAAAUGGCAGAUAAACUCUAUCACAUGGCCCAGUACCUAAAGAAGAAAGGGCCAAUCCAGACCAAAGAUGCUUUUGUAACAUCUGCUAAAGAUCUUGUCUCAAGCGGCCAGUCGAUCACCCAGUUUGUGCGUGUCAUAGCAGACCACUGUCUGGACAAGCAUUGUACUGAGGAGCUCUUUGUCAUUGCAGAGCAGAUCCUUACCAUUUCCAACCAACUUACCAUCAUUUCAAGGGGUGCAUGGUGUCUCUCCAGUGUUAAUGCAGUUACUCCUGGGUGCAAAUCAUCAGAUGAGAUCCUGGUGAAGAAUGCACAGAAUCUACUCCAGACAGUUAUCCAAGGAGUACGAGCUGCAGAGACUGCCUGCAUCAGGGGUUUGAAACAGCCUGAGCCAAACUCGGAAGCAGCAAAGGCAGCAGCGUUCUGUUUCCAGUGGAAAAAGGGUCUCCUUAUGCACCGAGCUCAAGAACAGCUUAACCCCGAAACGGAUUAUUUGGGUCUACGAAGGACCUCCCAGCAUUCAGCGGCGCCCAGCCUUGCACCACCCA